Mya arenaria is the source of this 2069-nucleotide long non-coding RNA. RefSeq lists it as uncharacterized. The record is from RefSeq and is a predicted model, not a curated record. NCBI's taxonomy places the organism in Eukaryota, Metazoa, Mollusca, Bivalvia, Myida, Myidae. The transcript is spliced from 3 exons.
AACUAAUGCGUAAUAUGUGUUCUAUCGUCGGUUUAAAUUUUUUUUUUUUGAAAUUUUCGGAAGAUAAUGUUACCUGAAUUGAUUAUCUGGAAUAAACUAUUGUUAUUUAGCAAAAACACGUGUGCUGUAUAACUAGAUAAAAGUGUUCUUGUUUUUUGGGAAAGGAAGGUCUUUUUUAGAUUCAAGUUAAUAAGGUUAGGAUUUUAUUUAUCAAAUACUAUUAUAAUUGUUGCAUGCUGAAUAUUACAAUAACAUAUAUUUUUUAGUAUUCAUGUGUAAUAUAACAACAUCACUCGAUAUGUUUGUAAACAAAUUAAUUUGAAACAAUAAUUGCUUAGCAAGUCAUAUACGUUUACUUCUAAUUGAAUAAAAUUGUCUAAUAUAUGACGACUCGAGACAGAUUCUACGCGUUGUGCGGGUGACGAAGGCACGUAUUUAUUUAUCCAUAUGCAUAUAUACUGAUGAUAUUAUUCAGUAUUUUAGAGUUUUAACUAAUAACCAUACUUUCUAUUAUAAUUGUAUCUACUAAACACAAUCACAUUUGCAUGAUGCGUGAUUUUAAUGUGUUUCGUGUACUGUUACUUUUCACAAUAGAUGAGCGUCGUUCACUAAAACCCUCAGGUGCUAAUAUUCAUGUCCAUUAUAACAGGAUUAAGCUAAGCUCAGUAUUUUUGUCUUUUAAUAACUUGAGUAAUAUUUACUUCUUUAAGAGUUUUUAUGCUUAAGAUGGGAAUUAUCAUUAUAGUAAUCACAAUAAACAAAUUUCAUUAAUCAAAUUUCAAUAUUAGAAGUCUGUACUUUGCCUUAUUGAAAUAAGCUACUUAAGCCUGUUAAGCUUAAGAAGUUUCGAGAAAUUGGGGCCAGAAGUUAAGAGAUUUAACUUAUGACCCUACGAUCUGUUAUAAUUGCAUUUAAUUUACUUAUCACAGUCAGAUUUGCAUGUUGCGUCGUUUCAAUGUGUUUCGUGUACUACUACUGUAGCUGCGUACCAUCACAGGAAUUUGUUUGGUGGUAUUAAGUGAUAUAUCAAAGUCAUAAUAUUAUCAAAUACUGACAAAAACAGCAAGUGUUGUAUAUCAUUGCAAAGGUUAUGGAUGGGGCUUAUAAAAAUGUACAGUAUGUUUAGAUUCAGACGGUUAAGUAAAAGAAAACAGAGUUCAAAAUUGACCUAACUGAUUUUGGGCACUUCCAUAGUGCCGGUCCUUUCUUUAAUGAUAGUUUUAGUGGCCAGGUCUUUAUCCGAAAUUGUUGUUUUGUCAGUAUUUUGUCAUCGUAGACUUUAUUAUAUCAUUAAGACCAUACACAUGAGUCAAAUUCCUGUGCGUACAAUACGUGCGUACACUACAGCACUGAAAUAUUUCUUUAAGUAUUUUAGAAGUUAAUCUUUUUACUAUAACUGUAAUUAUCAAACACAUUUAUCAUUCGCCAGUGGCAUAACACGUCGUCCCAACGUGAUGAAAAAUUAUUUUCGUUUUAUUUGCUUCAAAUACCCACACCGCAGAUUUGCUACCAAGACAACAAAUGUUUGCAUCGAUUAAGGAUUGCAGGAGGUGUUUGGCCUCGGUCAUACACGAGACAUUUGUUCACAAUCUUGAAUACUUUUGCGAAGUUAUUUCAACGUCGGAAGUAGGAAUGGCGAUUUGGACACAGGACUUCUAUAGACAGCGCCGAUCGGGUCGCCCCUAUCUGCCCUGUUUUCGUAUAAGGCUAACAGUCACUAAAUAGCUUAGUAACUGAGACUGGUGUCGAAAGUUGCAAGGCUUCUCGGGUAUGUAAGAGUUUUGUCCGUUAUGGAGCUAUGCAGCGUCCCCGGAAGUGAGUACGGACGUUCAAAUCGGAAGUCCGGAUCUAGCUUGUAGCCGUUCUCCUCCCGACGACCGCCAGCUGACGCCACUUCAUAUUUUAGACGCGAUACCGCUGUCAACGUCGGUUCCCCUUUCUUACUUCGAACACGUUCGUGGAAAACAAAACCGGUUUUCUUAAAAUCCACCACUGGACACCAAUCGCGACCUGAACGGAGAUGGCAAAGAACCACAUGAAGAGAGUGUUUAUUCUUGAAACCUCUCCGC